RNAcentral lists this ribosomal RNA (467 nucleotides) under uncultured bacterium. RNAcentral's name for it is "bacterial SSU rRNA". It matches the Rfam family "Bacterial small subunit ribosomal RNA", at positions 28 to 523 of the family's 1533-position model. The record is from RNAcentral.
GAUGAACGCUGGCGGCGUGCCUAAUACAUGCAAGUCGAACGGUCCGCAAGGAUAGUGGCGAACGGGUGAGUAACGCGUUGGUGACCUGCCCUGAAGAGGGGGAUAACGGAUCGAAAGAUCCGCUAAUACCGCAUAAGCUCUCACUAGUUAGAGAGGUGAGAGGAAAGCCGAAAGGCGCUUUAGGAGGGACCUGCGCCCCAUCAGCUAGUUGGUAAGGUAGUGGCUUACCAAGGCGAUGACGGGUAGGGGACCUGAGAGGGUGGCCCCCCACAAUGGAACUGAAACACGGUCCAUACACCUACGGGUGGCAGCAGUAGGGAAUAUUGGUUAAUGGGCGAAAGCCUGACCCAGCAACGCCGCGUGAACGAUGAAGGCCUUCGGGUUGUAAAGUUCUUUUUUACAGGGAUGAGGAAGGACAGUACCUGUAGAAUAAGUCUCGGCUAACUACGUGCCAGCAGCCGCGGUAA